This 429-nucleotide ribosomal RNA is filed under the name Chloroflexota bacterium. RNAcentral describes it as "Chloroflexi bacterium partial 16S ribosomal RNA". It matches the Rfam family "Bacterial small subunit ribosomal RNA", at positions 355 to 776 of the family's 1533-position model. The record is from RNAcentral. Lineage: Bacteria; Bacillati; Chloroflexota.
UGGGGAAUAUUGCACAAUGGGCGCAAGCCUGAUGCAGCAAUGCCGCGUGUAUGAAGAAGGCCUGCGGGUUGUAAAGUACUUUCAGUCGGGAGGAAGGUGGUAAGGUUAAUAACCUUAUCAAUUGACGUUACCGACAGAAGAAGCACCGGCUAACUCCGUGCCAGCAGCCGCGGUAAUACGGAGGGUGCAAGCGUUAAUCGGAAUUACUGGGCGUAAAGCGCACGCAGGCGGUUGAUUGAGUCAGAUGUGAAAUCCCCGGGCUUAACCCGGGAAUUGCAUCUGAUACUGGUCAGCUAGAGUCUUGUAGAGGGGGGUAGAAUUCCAUGUGUAGCGGUGAAAUGCGUAGAGAUGUGGAGGAAUACCGGUGGCGAAGGCGGCCCCCUGGACAAAGACUGACGCUCAGGUGCGAAAGCGUGGAGAGCAAACAAG